CUUAACAGAAAUCCGUGUAAGACGCAGAAAGGCGGGAAGGCCCACAUGCUGUGAUAACCAUUAACCAGACUUCCCUGGAGCCAGUUGUCAUUCUGGGUGGUGAGGUCAGUCACACAGAGGUCAAAACAAAUUCUACGACGUCACAAUGGCUUUAGCUUCUGCGUGUGGGAAUUUCUCUGUCUCUCUCUCUCUUUCAUAUAUGCAAGCAGACCCGGAUGUCCCACAUUUCCUUUCUGGAAAGGGAUUCACGCGGACGUAGAAAGUUUUGCCCACAGAUGCCACCAUUCACCAUGAAAGUGAAUAUAUUACAAUGAAGUAUGUUAAAAGUGUGGUCUAGGUGUCACUUGAACCCAGGCAGUAUAACAAAGCAGUUGAGAAUCCGGGCUCUGGAGUCAAACUGUCUGCUUGCCUGGAGACUAAACAUCGUCUAGGGCUGAGAAGGGCUGCCCGCCACAGGGGACACAUGCUCUCCAGGUGCCACAGUCAGGGCCAUACACACGGUGGACCAGGACCAAUCGCCAUUUAUCAUUACAUGGACACUAUCUUUCUUAGAAGUGUGUUAGGAGAAACGUCAACCAUUUCUUCUAUCUAAGUCUGUACCAACACUGGGAAGAGAAAGGUAGAACGAGAGAGCCAACAAAAACAGUAACGAGCCUUUUUUCUGUGGGUAGAAAGAACGCUCCUCCAGGUUGUGCCCAUGAGGAAAGAAUACAAUCUAAUCCACUGUUGUGAAGACACCAUUUCUUUCAUUUUCAUCGCCUACUCAGGCCCUUCCAAGAGCUUGCAUUUGCCACCCUGGCUUGGUGUCUGCCUGUCCCAGAAUAUCUUCUUCAACACUCCUUGAAUGUUUUCACUGGUCUGCUUUGCUGCCUGAAAUGUGGAGAUUCAUUUGGGUUAAGAAGCAUUCCAUACUAAAGAUACAAAUCCCUCUGGGAAGGUUAGUGUGGGAGCACAGGCUUCAGUGUCAGACUGCCUGGAUUCAAAGCCCAGCUCCAUCACUGACUGUAGCAUAAUAACCUUGGGCAAGUUACCUAACCUCCCUUCAUCUCAGUUUCCUCAUUUGUGGAAUGCAAAUAAUAGCACCUCUGUCCCAGGACUGUUGAGGAUCUAAAGAGUUGACGCAUGCUUAGAAUGGUGCCAGGCACACAGGAAGCACUACUUAGGUGUCAACUCUUAUUAUGCUUAGGUGCUCACACAUCAUUUAAAUCAGAUUUCCUCCUCCCUAAUCUAGCUCCGGACUGCUCCACUGAGGGAGUGGAAGUUCGAUGGGAGGACAGGUGGGAGGUGGGGACCAGAGGAGUUGGAGGUAGGGGAUGGAGGUGGGAAAGGAGUCAGGAAAGAGAGGGCUGGGAAUGGAGAGGAUAAAGAAAAUUCAGGACGUUGUAGAGUGAGGUAAACCUGGAUGGGAUGCUACAGUUGGAGUCUUUGGGCCCCUAGAGUGAGGGGCUUUAGAAGAUGAAGAGAGGAAAAGGAAGGGAGUGAGAGGAGGCCAAAGCAAACAGCACAUAUUUCAAAGCUUUAUCUAGUGUUGACUUGCAUCCAGAAAAGGGGGAAGAAAUUCUUUUUCCUCCCUCUUACUCUUGGACUAGGAUCAUAGUUUAACUACAUUGUAAAUGAAAUAGAAUGCUCUGGACAAGCCUGAGAUCCCAACCAUCAUUUAUAACGUUUCAACAGGAAAUAUUUUCUGAGUUCCAAAUAACAGGCUUCAGUGAUCUUUUGAAAUAGGAUCCGUUUGUAAGUCGGGGCCUGCCUACUUGCUGGGGGAGGAGAAGGGGGGAGUUUGCAGCCGGGCAGGUCAGAUAGAGAGCCAGUGUCUCACAAUAGAAGAAACCAGAGCUUGUAGUGGCUGAGUCACCUGGACUAGUGACUCAGCUAGAACUAGAGCCCAAGUCCCCAGAGCGCCUCAUUUCCCGCAGAGGCUGGAUGACCACCAGCCAGUCUUUGUAAAGGAAUCCAAAUAUCAGGUAAGAGGAGGUAAAAGAGGGGAGGGAGAUGAGGAGAUCCUCAAGUUUCCUCCAAAUCCAAGACUCUGUUAUUUGACACGGCCUGGUUUUAGGCUAGACCAUAGUAAGCAUCAAUUACUUGUUUUCUUUUUCCUUUUAGGUACGGCAACAGCCUGGAUCAUAAUAAUUCCUCAUUGAUAAAGAUCAACUUGUACAAUCUGCCCUGAACUGUCAGGAAUAUUUAGCAUCUACAAGACUGUUACAAACAACUUUGCCUUUGAAGGGUGAUAGGGAGAAUCCCAAGAUCAAUGAUGUCAUUGUACUCUCUACGUGACAGCUGGGGGCUAACUAAGGGAGGUGACAUGACCAGCCACCUCACAGCAAAUUCUUGGGAAGGAUUGGGAGCUAAAUCUACGAUAUGUACGUCUAUCAGGGAACUAUCUCCUUUCACUGAUUAAUGGGGCACAAGCAUCGGUGAGACUUAUAAUCUAAUCAGUUUUAACAACACACAAGAAGAAAAUAAUAGCACCAACAGGCUCAGUAAGAGGACAGACCUUUACAAACACCUCUCUGUUGAUUUUCUCAUGCUGCAAUAGUUAUGUGAAUUGCUAAGGGAAUAAUAACAACUAAUAUUAAUUGAUCAUCUACUAUGUGCCCCACGCUGUGCUAGUCACCCUACAUCAUCUCUGAACCUUACAGUAACACUCUUAUGGGGAUUUUAUUAUCUCUGUUUUUCCUGAUGAACAGCUAAAGCUGAGGCAAUUUCAGUGACUUACCUGAGGUCCCAUAGUCAGCAAGAAGCAGAGCCGAGACUCAUCCUCAGGGACAUCUGAUGUUGCUGUCCUAUGUGAGGCAGCAGCAGCUAGGGACUUUGGGUUUGGCGUUCUGAGAGGUACACCUAUGUCAGAAAUGACCAAACUGUAAAGAAGUUGUGGUGUUGUGGAUAACUUGAUAGUAGGGUGAGAUUUCCGUGAACAACAGAAUCAUAUUAUAGUAGUAAGGGAGAUGUUUUAGUAAUAUAAACAAUACAACAAAUGGAGGAGAAAAAUCUCUUCUACCUGACUAUACUACAAACCUUUUAUCAAAAAUCUUGCCUUUAAUAAAUGUUUUAGAAUAAGCUGUCUAUUCAGGAGGCCACCAUACUGUUUUCUGUCUAUGGGGCGGUAAGUAGAGCGGUUGAGACAAUAUGCCUGAAACAAGACUGCCUCAGAUCAAACCCUGGUGGUGCCACUUCCUAGCUGUGACUUUGAACUAACUACUUAUGCUUAGUACCUACCCCACAGGGCUGCCAUGAGGGUUAAACCAUUAACUGCACGUGAAGUUCUUAGAAAGCACCUGCUCAAUGGAAAGCACUUGGUCAAUAUUUGUCCAUACUGUGUGCAGAAUAGGGUAUGAAUGGUGUGAUGAAAUCGAAAGUAUGGUCCCCACUUUCAAGGAACUUAGAAACUAGCUGGGAAGAGAGAGCAUCUGCUGAUAGUAUGUCGCAGGAACAGGUACAACAUAAAAAUGUCUCCUUUCAUCAAGGUAUACAUUGUUGUAUCAUAAUAAAAAUUAAGUAAAUAACAAUUAAGGAAAUAGAGGAAGUGAGUGGUGACCUGGAUUUUGAAGGAGUUGCUGGUUUACCACUACAAAAUUUUUAAUUAAAGACUUUUGUCAAGACUUGUCCAUUCUCAAUAUUGUCAAUCUUGAUUCCUUAUAUAUUUAAUGAUAACCUUCUCUGUGCAAGACACUGGGAUAGCGGUAACGAAGGACUACAGAUUUGAAAGAGCUCUUAUCCUCAAGGAACUUACGGU
RNAcentral lists this long non-coding RNA (3736 nucleotides) under Equus caballus (horse). RNAcentral describes it as "lncRNA (ENSECAG00000046028.1)". Lineage: Eukaryota; Metazoa; Chordata; Mammalia; Perissodactyla; Equidae. The record is from RNAcentral.